GACGAACCGAGCGAACGUUGUUCGGAAUCACUGGGCUUAAAGGGCGCGUAGGCGGGGUCAUAAGUCUGUGGUGAAAUCCUCCGGCUCAACCGGAGAACUGCCUCGGAUACUGUGGCUCUCGAGGGUGGUAGGGGUAUGCGGAACUAUCGGUGGAGCGGUGAAAUGCGUUGAUAUCGAUAGGAACUCCGGUGGCGAAGGCGGCAUACUGGACCACUUCUGACGCUGAGGAGCGAAAGCGUGGGGAGCAAACAGG
Molecule: ribosomal RNA, 253 nt
Filed under: uncultured bacterium
Lineage: Bacteria
Description: partial 16S ribosomal RNA
Rfam family: Bacterial small subunit ribosomal RNA
Source: RNAcentral